RNAcentral lists this ribosomal RNA (180 nucleotides) under uncultured Glomeromycotina. RNAcentral's name for it is "partial small subunit ribosomal RNA". The stretch from base 37 to 180 matches the Rfam family "Eukaryotic small subunit ribosomal RNA", at positions 684 to 830 of the family's 1831-position model. Lineage: Eukaryota; Fungi; Glomeromycota. The record is from RNAcentral.
GGGUUCUACCGUUGGUCGGGCUAUUGUCUGUACUGGUGUGUAGAAUUUCUACCUUCUGGGGAACCAUCAUGUUAUUAAUUUAGCGUGGUGGGAAACCAGAACCUUUACCUUGAAAAAAUUAGAGUGUUCAAAGCAGGCUUACGUCUGAAUACAUUAGCAUGGAAUAAUAGAAUAGGACUU